RNAcentral lists this ribosomal RNA (17 nucleotides) under Cuphea parsonsia. Its description in RNAcentral is "partial 18S ribosomal RNA". Lineage: Eukaryota; Viridiplantae; Streptophyta; Magnoliopsida; Myrtales; Lythraceae. The record is from RNAcentral.
GCAGAACGACCAGAGAG